Molecule: ribosomal RNA, 334 nt
Filed under: uncultured Anaerolineaceae bacterium
Lineage: Bacteria; Bacillati; Chloroflexota; Anaerolineae; Anaerolineales; Anaerolineaceae
Description: bacterial SSU rRNA
Rfam family: Bacterial small subunit ribosomal RNA
Source: RNAcentral
CAGUGCUGCAUGGCUGUCGUCAGCUCGUGUCGUGAGAUGUUCGGUUAAGUCCGCUAACGAGCGCAACCCUCGCUGUGUGUUACAAGUGUCACACGGAACUGCCGGUCAUAAACCGGAGGAAGGUGGGGAUGACGUCAAGUCAGCAUGGCCUUUAUAUCCUGGGCUACACACACGCUACAAUGGGAAGGGACAAUAGGUUGCGAAGCCGCGAGGCGGAGCCAAUCCAGCAAAACUUCCCUCAGUUCAGAUUGCAGGCUGCAACUCGCCUGCAUGAAGUUGGAGUUGCUAGUAAACGCAGGUCAGCCAUACUGCGUUGAAUACGUUCCCGGGCCUU